AAAGAUAAAUGUUGGGAAGAGGAAUGAACAUAUCCCAAGCAGCAUUUAUGACCCAACAGCUGAAGAAGAGGAGGGGACAUGGAAAAACGCUUGUGGCCUGGCCUCUGCCUUCUUGUGGAAUCACAUAUAAGAUUUCUAGCUUGGCGAACUCCUUGAGGACAUGGGCUUUGUUUUCUGUUCCAUUUUACCCUCCACUGUGCCUUCGCAGGCUUUCCCAUUGAGUGUUUUCAAUGGGAAAUGUCUAACUGCUCUGUGGGUGUACACCACGGCCAGUUGCUAAUUUUGGAACACUUGUGAAUCCUGGGCCCAGAGUCAUGACCAAUACUGGAUUCCCCAGGAUCAACCAUCUGAGCAGAUACCUUGGAAUGUCCCCAGAUUUCAGAGCCUCGGACCAGCAGCAACACACUCUGAAGUAGGUCUCAGAAGACAAAAAGCUGAAAUCAACUCAUGCUUCCUGCUACACAGAAUCCACUGAGAGGAAAAGGAAACUUCACCGAAACUUCAGAAAGCUACAGAAAUGACAUCCAUUUUCACAAUCCCAGAAGGAAAGAUGCAUCUGAAGGGAAUAAAAACAGAGCAAUGGAAGAGUAUUUGUUAAAAUAAAUGGCUUUGACAGGGCAUUUUCUCUAAAGGUCUCCUUUGCCUCAAAUAGUACUCCUGCCUUCAGUCCAUCUUGCAUGCCACCCAGCUGUGGGCAUCCUGGCAGUUGCUGCCAUGUCCUUGCCUAAAAGCCUCCACCCCCAACCAACCCACC
Molecule: long non-coding RNA, 754 nt
Filed under: Homo sapiens (human)
Lineage: Eukaryota; Metazoa; Chordata; Mammalia; Primates; Hominidae
Description: HSALNT0021385
Source: RNAcentral